RNAcentral lists this ribosomal RNA (2930 nucleotides) under Escherichia coli O121:H19 str. 2011C-3609. RNAcentral describes it as "bacterial LSU rRNA". It matches the Rfam family "Bacterial large subunit ribosomal RNA". Lineage: Bacteria; Pseudomonadati; Pseudomonadota; Gammaproteobacteria; Enterobacterales; Enterobacteriaceae. The record is from RNAcentral.
GGGUUGUGAGGUUAAGCGACUAAGCGUACACGGUGGAUGCCCUGGCAGUCAGAGGCGAUGAAGGACGUGCUAAUCUGCGAUAAGCGUCGGUAAGGUGAUAUGAACCGUUAUAACCGGCGAUUUCCGAAUGGGGAAACCCAGUGUGAUUCGUCACACUAUCAUUAACUGAAUCCAUAGGUUAAUGAGGCGAACCGGGGGAACUGAAACAUCUAAGUACCCCGAGGAAAAGAAAUCAACCGAGAUUCCCCCAGUAGCGGCGAGCGAACGGGGAGCAGCCCAGAGCCUGAAUCAGUGUGUGUGUUAGUGGAAGCGUCUGGAAAGGCGCGCGAUACAGGGUGACAGCCCCGUACACAAAAAUGCACAUACUGUGAGCUCGAUGAGUAGGGCGGGACACGUGGUAUCCUGUCUGAAUAUGGGGGGACCAUCCUCCAAGGCUAAAUACUCCUGACUGACCGAUAGUGAACCAGUACCGUGAGGGAAAGGCGAAAAGAACCCCGGCGAGGGGAGUGAAAAAGAACCUGAAACCGUGUACGUACAAGCAGUGGGAGCACGCUUAGGCGUGUGACUGCGUACCUUUUGUAUAAUGGGUCAGCGACUUAUAUUCUGUAGCAAGGUUAACCGAAUAGGGGAGCCGAAGGGAAACCGAGUCUUAACUGGGCGUUAAGUUGCAGGGUAUAGACCCGAAACCCGGUGAUCUAGCCAUGGGCAGGUUGAAGGUUGGGUAACACUAACUGGAGGACCGAACCGACUAAUGUUGAAAAAUUAGCGGAUGACUUGUGGCUGGGGGUGAAAGGCCAAUCAAACCGGGAGAUAGCUGGUUCUCCCCGAAAGCUAUUUAGGUAGCGCCUCGUGAAUUCAUCUCCGGGGGUAGAGCACUGUUUCGGCAAGGGGGUCAUCCCGACUUACCAACCCGAUGCAAACUGCGAAUACCGGAGAAUGUUAUCACGGGAGACACACGGCGGGUGCUAACGUCCGUCGUGAAGAGGGAAACAACCCAGACCGCCAGCUAAGGUCCCAAAGUCAUGGUUAAGUGGGAAACGAUGUGGGAAGGCCCAGACAGCCAGGAUGUUGGCUUAGAAGCAGCCAUCAUUUAAAGAAAGCGUAAUAGCUCACUGGUCGAGUCGGCCUGCGCGGAAGAUGUAACGGGGCUAAACCAUGCACCGAAGCUGCGGCAGCGACGCUGAUGCGUUGUUGGGUAGGGGAGCGUUCUGUAAGCCUGUGAAGGUGUGCUGUGAGGCAUGCUGGAGGUAUCAGAAGUGCGAAUGCUGACAUAAGUAACGAUAAAGCGGGUGAAAAGCCCGCUCGCCGGAAGACCAAGGGUUCCUGUCCAACGUUAAUCGGGGCAGGGUGAGUCGACCCCUAAGGCGAGGCCGAAAGGCGUAGUCGAUGGGAAACAGGUUAAUAUUCCUGUACUUGGUGUUACUGCGAAGGGGGGACGGAGAAGGCUAUGUUGGCCGGGCGACGGUUGUCCCGGUUUAAGCGUGUAGGCUGGUUUUCCAGGCAAAUCCGGAAAACUAAGGCUGAGGCGUGAUGACGAGGCACUACGGUGCUGAAGCAACAAAUGCCCUGCUUCCAGGAAAAGCCUCUAAGCAUCAGGUAACAUCAAAUCGUACCCCAAACCGACACAGGUGGUCAGGUAGAGAAUACCAAGGCGCUUGAGAGAACUCGGGUGAAGGAACUAGGCAAAAUGGUGCCGUAACUUCGGGAGAAGGCACGCUGAUAUGUAGGUGAAGUCCCUCGCGGAUGGAGCUGAAAUCAGUCGAAGAUACCAGCUGGCUGCAACUGUUUAUUAAAAACACAGCACUGUGCAAACACGAAAGUGGACGUAUACGGUGUGACGCCUGCCCGGUGCCGGAAGGUUAAUUGAUGGGGUCAGCGCAAGCGAAGCUCUUGAUCGAAGCCCCGGUAAACGGCGGCCGUAACUAUAACGGUCCUAAGGUAGCGAAAUUCCUUGUCGGGUAAGUUCCGACCUGCACGAAUGGCGUAAUGAUGGCCAGGCUGUCUCCACCCGAGACUCAGUGAAAUUGAACUCGCUGUGAAGAUGCAGUGUACCCGCGGCAAGACGGAAAGACCCCGUGAACCUUUACUAUAGCUUGACACUGAACAUUGAGCCUUGAUGUGUAGGAUAGGUGGGAGGCUUUGAAGUGUGGACGCCAGUCUGCAUGGAGCCGACCUUGAAAUACCACCCUUUAAUGUUUGAUGUUCUAACGUUGACCCGUGAUCCGGGUUGCGGACAGUGUCUGGUGGGUAGUUUGACUGGGGCGGUCUCCUCCUAAAGAGUAACGGAGGAGCACGAAGGUUGGCUAAUCCUGGUCGGACAUCAGGAGGUUAGUGCAAUGGCAUAAGCCAGCUUGACUGCGAGCGUGACGGCGCGAGCAGGUGCGAAAGCAGGUCAUAGUGAUCCGGUGGUUCUGAAUGGAAGGGCCAUCGCUCAACGGAUAAAAGGUACUCCGGGGAUAACAGGCUGAUACCGCCCAAGAGUUCAUAUCGACGGCGGUGUUUGGCACCUCGAUGUCGGCUCAUCACAUCCUGGGGCUGAAGUAGGUCCCAAGGGUAUGGCUGUUCGCCAUUUAAAGUGGUACGCGAGCUGGGUUUAGAACGUCGUGAGACAGUUCGGUCCCUAUCUGCCGUGGGCGCUGGAGAACUGAGGGGGGCUGCUCCUAGUACGAGAGGACCGGAGUGGACGCAUCACUGGUGUUCGGGUUGUCAUGCCAAUGGCACUGCCCGGUAGCUAAAUGCGGAAGAGAUAAGUGCUGAAAGCAUCUAAGCACGAAACUUGCCCCGAGAUGAGUUCUCCCUGACUCCUUGAGAGUCCUGAAGGAACGUUGAAGACGACGACGUUGAUAGGCCGGGUGUGUAAGCGCAGCGAUGCGUUGAGCUAACCGGUACUAAUGAACCGUGAGGCUUAACCUUACAACGCCGAAGCUGUU